Molecule: ribosomal RNA, 468 nt
Filed under: uncultured bacterium
Lineage: Bacteria
Description: partial 16S ribosomal RNA
Rfam family: Bacterial small subunit ribosomal RNA
Source: RNAcentral
GACGAACGCUGGCGGCGUGCUUAACACAUGCAAGUCGAACGGAAAGGCCCUGCUUUUGUGGGGUGCUCGAGUGGCGAACGGGUGAGUAACACGUGAGUAACCUGCCCUUGACUUUGGGAUAACUUCAGGAAACUGGGGCUAAUACCGGAUAGGAGCUCCUGCUGCAUGGUGGGGGUUGGAAAGUUUCGGCGGUUGGGGAUGGACUCGCGGCUUAUCAGCUUGUUGGUGGGGUAGUGGCUUACCAAGGCUUUGACGGGUAGCCGGCCUGAGAGGGUGACCGGCCACAUUGGGACUGAGAUACGGCCCAGACUCCUACGGGAGGCAGCAAUGGGGAAUAUUGCACAAUGGGCGGAAGCCUGAUGCAGCAACGCCGCGCGCGGGAUGACGGCCUUCGGGUUGUAAACCGCUUUCGCCUGUGACGAAGCGUGAGUGACGGUAAUGGGUAAAGAAGCACCGGCUAACUACGUG